ACUUCUUACCAAGAACUCCUUAACUUGAGGGUGAACAACUUAAAGCUUGAUCCUACAGUUACCUGAAAAGUGAUUUGAGUAUUCAUUGAACUGAAAGAACAAAUCGCCUACUUCAGGCGGUGGCAAGCGUAUGGAAAUUAUAUUAGAACUUCAGCAAAGUGCACAGCUGCAUAAUAGAGAAGCCGGCACUCAGAUUGACAGGCAAAUAAGCCAGCUUGUGGAAGGGGCCUCUGGGUGGCAGCUCUGGGCUUUUGGGUGUUGGACAACCAUAGGCAAAACUGAAAUGGAACAGGGGCAGAAAAUAGCACACUUUUACUCUACGCAACUGUUGCUUUUUCAUGAUCUUCAGGAAUUUUACUGGGAUAAUUAUCCAAAUAAAUUGCAAGCAUUCUAUCCAAAUGGAGCUCUUUCUGAGAUGAAGAGAAUUCUCAAUGUCAAGAUUUGAACAAGAAGAGAAUGGAAUACACAAUAUGGUAAGGCUACGAUAUCAAAUCUACUUUUUUGGGGGAAAGUUGGGCAGUGAGACUGCUUAAUCGCAACCAAUGUGAGUUUAGAGGGUGCAUGUUCACUUUUGUAGAAGUUCAAAAUGUACUGACGAUUGUUUGCUUAUUUUUUGUUUGUUUGUUUAAAUCUUAAAGGAAUACUGUCGUCUGCGUUUUUACGAUUUUGUUUUCUUCUAUUGAACCCAUUACAGUGGAUAUAGAGUUUUAUUAUAUAGCGAAAUCUUUGUAAACUGCCACAGAAAGAAAGUGUUAUUUAGAAGGGAAAUUGACAAGUUUUAAAGAGUAAUUGUACAAUCAUUUGAGGACAGAGGAACACUGCAUUAUACUAAUAAGGGUUUAAUUACCAAAAAAAGUUUAAUGUUGCUUUGGAAGGAAUAUUAAGUAAGUUGUCUUUGUCUCUUACUUUUUAAUUUUAGUCGCUGAUUUAGCCUGUUGGGUCACAUUUUUUGUUAGUGCUGAAGGCUGCCAUGAAUCCGUAAUGAGGCCCCUUUGCACAUGAUUUUGGCACUUGGCCAAAAUCAACUUCCCAGCGGCAAGCUUUCUCUAAAGAACCUGGAGCAAUUUCUUUCUUUUUUUUUUU
RNAcentral lists this long non-coding RNA (1083 nucleotides) under Homo sapiens (human). Its description in RNAcentral is "non-protein coding MIR99AHG:61". Lineage: Eukaryota; Metazoa; Chordata; Mammalia; Primates; Hominidae. The record is from RNAcentral.